UGCCGGUGGCACCGAAUAAGCCUCGCUCAGUGGUCGGGGUCGGCAAUAAUCUUCUUUGUCGUUUUCGUUCUCACUGCAUACGGAAUUUCCACAAUUUAUCGACGGAGCGCUCUCAUUGGCUUGAGAAAAGAUGGCGACGUCUCCACCGGGACAUUCCAGCAAUUGCCAUGCGAGUUUUUCGAGGCCGAAACGCGCCGCGAAAUGUAGCAAGGUUGGAUACUCUUCGGGACCUGUGAAAAAGGAAGCGACUGAUGUGAACGAGUUUUGCGCCCAAGGAACGAGCUGAUCCACCAAAAAUCGGUGCAGCUCCACUCGGAGUUGACAACAGAUCGAAUCUGGGCGGCAAAUUCUUCUGGAAUGCAUUCACCAUCCAAUUGUCCAAUUGUUCACGGUCUCCGGGGUUGAAACCAAAAGUCUGAAGAAGACAACGCGAAACGAGUGGAAAAGUAACGGAAAAAUGACGAAUUUAUUUCCAACUUUAGUGCUUCGAUCACUCGAAGAUUUCUCGUUCCAAAAUUGAAUUAUCUUGACGUUUAUCAAGGUUAGCAUCGAUCAAUGUGGAUUUAUUUACCUGGCACAUAAAUUCAAGAGGAUUGUCAUGA
Molecule: long non-coding RNA, 602 nt
Organism: Venturia canescens
Lineage: Eukaryota; Metazoa; Arthropoda; Insecta; Hymenoptera; Ichneumonidae
Exons: 3
Source: RefSeq, a predicted model, not a curated record